RNAcentral lists this ribosomal RNA (253 nucleotides) under uncultured bacterium. Its description in RNAcentral is "partial 16S ribosomal RNA". It matches the Rfam family "Bacterial small subunit ribosomal RNA", at positions 524 to 776 of the family's 1533-position model. The record is from RNAcentral.
UACGUAGGGUGCGAGCGUUGUCCGGAAUUAUUGGGCGUAAAGGGCUCGUAGGCGGUCUGUUGCGUCAGGAGUGAAAACUCGGGGCUUAACCCCGAGCCUGCUUCUGAUACGGGCAGACUAGAGGUAUGCAGGGGAGAACGGAAUUCCUGGUGUAGCGGUGAAAUGCGUAGAUAUUGGGAGGAACACCAGUGGCGAAGGCGGCUACCUGGACCGGUUCUGACGCUGAUGCGCGAAAGCGUGGGUAGCAAACAGG